ACUUUCAUAAACUAAUAUAUUCAAGUUUUAUUUAUCAAAACUACCUGGUAAAGCGGAUUUAAAUAAAGCGCUUUUUUCACUCCUAAUAAUUAAGGCGACUAAUCAUUCCUUAAGAACAAGAACCAUCAACACACUGUUUGAUGCAGGUGUAACGGAAACUGACAUAAUUAAGAGGACCAUACACAGGAGCGCAGUCACGAGACAUAAGUGAUGAGACAUCAAAAUAAAUGAAAAUUCCUGGCACAAAAAGAUCAAAUAGGACCGGGUCCUUGCACGCUCAUCCUCUCAAUCUCCUCUCAAUAGUUAGUUGCACAAACUAAUCAUUGAGGUUAAGACCGAGUUGGUUUGUCUAUUUCUUGCUUCUCCAAUUAUCAAAUUAGAUUAUAGCGGUGCUUUAUUGAAAUAAUGAUUCCUGGAGGUCCAGUAUAAAUGUCUUGGGUCGCAGACUGACAUUAACCAUAUAAUCGGACCGGGUCCUUGCACGCUCAUCCUCUCAAUCUCACCUCUAAACUCAAUUUAAAGAUCUGCCAAAAAAUACGUUACUCAAUAAGUUGUUUGGAGUAUACAAACAACUUAUUGAGUAACUAAAAACCGGUUUUACACGUGCCCACAAGUAAGCAUCCAAUGAAAUAGAGGAAAUCUUUCACGUGACACGCAAGACUGAUCAUGCUAUAGGCCAUGUGGAUCGUCUCUGAUUGGUCAGCGUUACGGAAGAAAAUAUAAAAACGUGUUUUUAAAAUUGUUAAUUAAGUCCAAAUUUGGUUUUUUUGGUCGCAAAUUGUAGCCUUAUCUAUCUUGAUGUGCUGUACCAUAAGUAAGUUGUGGAACAGCUGUCGGAACUCGUGCCUUCGGCACUCGUUGCUCCAGCAGUUCCAUAACCUACCUAAUAUAACACAUAUAUAGGAUAUGGGAUAUAGGAUAGUUAGCAUAUUGUUAUUUAUAACUUAAUAAGGUGGUCAUAAUUUUAUCAAUUACUGUUCUCCGAAUGAGAUAGAAUCACACUCUUUCAAUGAAGGCAGAGUUAUAAUCAUAUUGGCGAUAGCGGAUUACAAAAUAGCAAACUAUAAGUAUAAUUUAUAAAUCUUGUAUAUUUUCAAUUUUGUAGUAGACAUGAUGGAGACAAGCCAUUUUCAGUUACUAAAGGUUGAAACAAUUAUCAAUUGAAAACUGAUGUUUUUAUAAAAUAUCUUGAAAAUAAGCAGUAAUUAGGUAUUUUACCAAACAAACUCAAAACUGUUUUGGUUCAAGAUUUAUUUUGCAGAGUUUACACAGUAUAAAAGCAUGUGCAUUGUGCUUCAUUAUAGUUUGUUGAUGAGGCGUAUUUUUAGCGUUAACCCUGGUGACUGAAGGUCUUAAAUCAUCCAUGUCUUUCGGUUAGGCCCAUAAUUAUCACUCCUGUUUUCUCUCCAAUGAGCUCCUCCCUCGACAAUCGAUAUCACGUGUUCCUUUCUGCCUCAGCUCGGUGAAUUGUCUCCUUCAUCUGGUUGAUAUUCGUUUUCUCGAACAUGAGAUAGUAAUUCCUGUGAUUGCUCUGGUCAUUUCUCGACAGUUGUUACCAGAAGGACUUUCAGCAUCAAUGUUCCUGAUAAGGCCUAUAUAUAAUUUAUCGUCUCUACACAGUACACUCUAUUUUCCACUUUAUGAGUUCCUUCUCUCCUUUUGUCAUGAUGAAAGCACACCACGUGACCUGUCCCGUAGCUUGUAGGCUGUGAAAUAGUUCAAUUAUUGUCUCGUGGACCAGGAUAUUUAUAUCGCCUUCACCCUAGCCACACCUGGCUAGUCGUAAAUAGGAUCGUAACAGACUUGAUCUGUUAUACUACAUAGAAUCGUAAAAAUCAAAUGUCAAAUUUUAUCUCAGAACCAUAAAUAAAAAAUGAUAAUGAGUAAAACACAUUGCUUAAAUUACUACGACAGUUAUCAUGGAUUAAUCUAGAUGUUCUGAUGCGGUUUCUUAAGACUUGAUUGCAACAUAAUACUAUGACAUAAUGACAUCGUUACAUCUGACACUGGAAACACGGAUCAUACUCGCCAAAGACAAUUUUUCAGUCGAGUAGAUAUACAAAAUAAGUUAUGAUGUUCAUCGAAGGGUGGAGGGGGGAUUUUCGGUAGUUUCGUGAAAAACUGCCAGGUAGCCAGGACUUUCUAUUUUUAUUAAUGGACAUGUUCAUUUGAAGUUGAGAUUAUUUGUACAUAUACAAAAAUAUUAACCAAGCAUGUUCAGAAGUUCUCAACACAGAAACUUUAUUGUUGUUAUGCACUAUAAUGUUACAACUACAAGUUUGCAUUUUUUUGAAUCUGUUAACUAUAGCUGCCUUUACUGGGCCGCGCUCAGCCUGUCAUUCCGCCUAAUCUCUAUUCGUUUAUGAAAAUGAUAGCCUGAGGUCCCCAGGUAGUAGCUGCCUAUAGUUAACUGUAUAGUAUUCCUUAUUCUGAAAUGUAGUAGGUUCUGGUUACUAAUUAGAUCAAUUUAACAAUCAUAAAACAUCAUUGGUUAAAGAGCAGGGAUUCGAGUUCGACGGUUAUAAGGCAAGAUUUGGUCAACUUUGUCGCACACUCUGAAUCUGAUACCUAUUUUCUACUGUGUCCUAAAAACUUUAUUAUAUCAGGCUCCACCUAUGAAUAGAAGAAUCGUCCAUCAGGAUGAUGAAUAAUUUUUCAGUGCCAGUAUUUUGACGGUUGCACUCGAUUUUAUCUUACCCAUUUAAUUAAAUUUGUUAACAUCGAAAGACAAAUGAACAGUUUAACGUACGGGAGUCAAGCGAACUAGGAUAAUCGAAUAGUUGUAUUUGUAAUUACUUGUUUAUAGUUCCUAAAUAUGAA
Long non-coding RNA from Bolinopsis microptera, 2820 nucleotides. RefSeq lists it as uncharacterized. The transcript has 2 exons. NCBI's taxonomy places the organism in Eukaryota, Metazoa, Ctenophora, Tentaculata, Lobata, Bolinopsidae. The record is from RefSeq and is a predicted model, not a curated record.